Molecule: non-coding RNA, 254 nt
Organism: Pelobates cultripes (western spadefoot toad)
Lineage: Eukaryota; Metazoa; Chordata; Amphibia; Anura; Pelobatidae
Source: the annotation of a GenBank genome assembly
GUGGAGGUGGGGCUGAUGCACAAGUUACCAGCUGAUGUUGUUUUGGGGAAUGACCUGGGGCAAAUGACUUCCGCUUUUGUGCCCCAAAGUCCUCGCCAUGAGGCAUAUCCGGUGACCACCCGUCAGCAGGCUCGCACCACGGCUUCAUCUUCCACACACUCUGAGGCUCAGGUAAGAGACAAUGUACCCCGUGUAACCCGUGUUUCCUGGGAUACCCUGACUGACUUUGAGGCAGAGGUUAAAAACGAUCCCAC